GAAAUAAUGAAGAGCCGUGAAACGCAAGAAGACCCUCUUCAACAAGAAAGUCGACAUCUUCACCAAAUCUUGAUAUCGAAGAUAUUCAAAUCACAUAAAUUCUUUCAAAACCUUGUGUUGUGUUCGUUUCUUAUCGGUUUCGGAUUCGGACUCGGCUUCAUACUCAACUUCCACAUAAGAAACGUCUCAUUCAGUCCCCAACUCUUUCGUCUAUCUUCUCUUGCCUCCUCCUCUUCUCUCUCUCCACCGCUUCAACCGCCGCCAACAUAGCCAGGAAAUUGCGUUUUUAGAAAAGAAACUGUUGCGACUGAUGACGACGAUGAUGGGCAAAAGAAUCAUUCUCUGGUGGAGCCGGAGAACGUGAUGCAUAACAUGUCGGAGGAGGAACUCUACCCUGUGUAUCUACAAAAGGCGAUUGGAUAUACUGCAGCGGUGAAGACAGGAAAUUGUACUGCUUCAGCUAUCAAACCGGUGGACUUGAGCAUUUUAUGAUGGUGCAUGAGAAAGAUGUGAUAGGCGUAACACACCACCCACAUAGAAACCUUGUCGCAACCUAUAGUGAAGAUUGCACCAUGAAGUUGUGGAAGCCCUGAGAGUUGCCUUAUCAUCAAGCCUUACUUUUUGUAUGAUUAAAUCUCCCGACUUUGUUUGAUUUUGCUAUUGAAAAAGGCAUCGCGACUCUUGGUGCUCGGGUUAGAAGUUAGAACUAGUGU
This is a long non-coding RNA of Eutrema salsugineum, 713 nucleotides long. RefSeq lists it as uncharacterized. Lineage: Eukaryota; Viridiplantae; Streptophyta; Magnoliopsida; Brassicales; Brassicaceae. The record is from RefSeq and is a predicted model, not a curated record. The transcript is spliced from 3 exons.